CCCCCCCCCCCCCCCCCCCCCCAAAAUCUACUUGGAGGCUUUGAAACUAAGCGAAGAGGAAGAAGGAUGCUAAGCUUUCAAUGCUCUCUUCACCUGCUUCAGCCUUAUUGUUCGGCGAGUUACAAUAACCACUCGAAUCUUCGCUUCCACAAUUUGGCGCCGUUUCGUGUCACCAGAACGAUUCAAGCACCAAAGAUCCAGAGGGUACGUGCGGAUUGGUCUAGGAGGAGUGUAAAAGUGCGAGUUAAUGGUCUGAAUCGAGAAAUGGAAGAAGAAGAAGAAGAUGUGGAAGAGUCUGAAGAAGAAGAUGAGUUCACGUCGAGGAAGAGAGAAAGUUACGGAGGGAAGAAGGAAGAUAUCAAUUACGAUAAAGACCCCGAGUUCGCUGAUAUUCUUGGUGAUUGUUUAGAUAACCCAGAGAAAGCUCAAAAGAAGAUGGAAGAGAGGUUGAGGAAGAAAAGGAACAAGAUUCUGCAUACCAAAACUGGUUCUGCUACUUCCAUGCAGGUCACUUUCAACAAGUUUGAGUAUUCGAAUUCAUACAUGUGGUUGGAGUUUCACAACGCUCCUCUGGAUAAAGACAUUGCCUUGAUCACUGAUGCAAUCCGUUCGUGGCAUAUCCUUGGACGACUUGGUGGAUACAACUCCAUGAAUAUGCAAUUAUCGCAAGCGCCUGUGGAUAAAAGGCCAAACUAUGAUGCUAUCCUUGGAGCUAAUAUCGAGCCAACCACAUUCUAUAACAUCGGUGAUCUUGAGGUCCAAGACAAUGUCGCUCGCAUCUGGCUAGACAUUGGGACCUCAGAGCCGUUGAUUCUUGAUGUUCUCAUAAACGCAUUGACACAAAUCAGCUCAGACUAUGUUGGGAUAAAGAAAGUUGUGUUUGGUGGAUCUGAGUUUGAGAACUGGAAGGAGAAUUUGACAUCCGAGGAGUCUGGUUUCAGAGUCCACAAGAUUUAACAUGCUCUUUACUUUGUUUGAAAGACCACAAAGAUGUAACUUUCUCACUAAAACUUAUAAAUUACAUCAUUCAGCUUCUAUAUAGCUUGAUGUAUGCUCCCUAUUUUAUCACUGUUGUUAAAUUGCAAUCACGUUUAAAAAUGAUCAGAUGGCAGUUAUUUCUUGUCUCUCUGAAGAGAUAAAACCA
Brassica rapa (field mustard) is the source of this 1144-nucleotide RNA transcript. RefSeq lists it as uncharacterized. The record is from RefSeq and is a predicted model, not a curated record. NCBI's taxonomy places the organism in Eukaryota, Viridiplantae, Streptophyta, Magnoliopsida, Brassicales, Brassicaceae.